AGUGAACGCUGGCGGUAGGCCUAACACAUGCAAGUCGAACGGCAGCACAGUAAGAGCUUGCUCUUACGGGUGGCGAGUGGCGGACGGGUGAGGAAUACAUCGGAAUCUACUUUUUCGUGGGGGAUAACGUAGGGAAACUUACGCUAAUACCGCAUACGACCUACGGGUGAAAGCAGGGGAUCUUCGGACCUUGCGCGAUUGAAUGAGCCGAUGUCGGAUUAGCUAGUUGGCGGGGUAAAGGCCCACCAAGGCGACGAUCCGUAGCUGGUCUGAGAGGAUGAUUAGCCACACUGGAACUGAGACACGGUCCAGACUCCUACGGGAGGCAGCAGUGGGGAAUAUUGGACAAUGGGCGCAAGCCUGAUCCAGCCAUACCGCGUGGGUGAAGUAGGCCUGCGGGUUGUAAAGACCUUUUGUUGGGAAAGAAAAGCAGCAGGUUAAUACCCCGCUGUUCUGACGGUACCCAAAGAAUAAGCACCGGCUAACUUCGU
This 491-nucleotide ribosomal RNA is filed under the name uncultured bacterium. RNAcentral describes it as "partial 16S ribosomal RNA". It matches the Rfam family "Bacterial small subunit ribosomal RNA", at positions 29 to 506 of the family's 1533-position model. The record is from RNAcentral.